RNAcentral lists this ribosomal RNA (495 nucleotides) under uncultured bacterium. RNAcentral's name for it is "partial 16S ribosomal RNA". It matches the Rfam family "Bacterial small subunit ribosomal RNA", at positions 28 to 507 of the family's 1533-position model. The record is from RNAcentral.
GACGAACGCUGGCGGCGUGCCUAAUACAUGCAAGUAGAACGCUGAAGGAGGAGCUUGCUUCUCUGGAUGAGUUGCGAACGGGUGAGUAACGCGUAGGUAACCUGCCUGGUAGCGGGGGAUAACUAUUGGAAACGAUAGCUAAUACCGCAUAACAGUAGAUAUCGCAUGAUAUCUACUUGAAAGGUGCAAUUGCAUCACCACCAGAUGGACCUGCGUUGUAUUAGCUAGUUGGUGAGGUAACGGCUCACCAAGGCGACGAUACAUAGCCGACCUGAGAGGGGGAUCGGCCACACUGGGACUGAGACACGGCCCAGACUCCUACGGGAGGCAGCAGUAGGGAAUCUUCGGCAAUGGACGGAAGUCUGACCGAGCAACGCCGCGUGAGUGAAGAAGGUUUUCGGAUCGUAAAGCUCUGUUGUAAGAGAAGAACGAGUGUGAGAGUGGAAAGUUCACACUGUGACGGUAUCUUACCAGAAAGGGACGGCUAACUACGUG